UUAAAUUUGAAAUUCAGAUAAACAGUGAAUACUUAUCUUUUAGUAUAAAUAUGUCCCAUGCAACACUUGGGACAUACUUAUACUGAAAAAUUAUUUGUUGUUAAUCUAAAAUUUCAUAUAUAAUUGGGUAUCCUGUAUUUU
This 141-nucleotide microRNA precursor is filed under the name Dasypus novemcinctus (nine-banded armadillo). RNAcentral describes it as "miRNA (ENSDNOG00000037690.1)". The stretch from base 37 to 88 matches the Rfam family "mir-1302 microRNA precursor family". The record is from RNAcentral. Lineage: Eukaryota; Metazoa; Chordata; Mammalia; Cingulata; Dasypodidae.